AACGAAGCACCUUAGACAGAAGCCUUCGGGUGGAAGACUUUGGUGACUUAGUGGCGGACGGGUGAGUAACGCGUGGGUAACCUGCCCUGUACUGGGGGACAACAGUUGGAAACGACUGCUAAUACCGCAUAAGCGCACAGCAUCGCAUGAUGCAGUGUGAAAAACUCCGGUGGUACAGGAUGGACCCGCGUCUGAUUAGCUAGUUGGUGAGGUAACGGCUUACCAAGGCAACGAUCAGUAGCCGACUUGAGAGAGUGAUCGGCCACAUUGGGACUGAGACACGGCCCAAACUCCUACGGGAGGCAGCAGUGGGGAAUAUUGCACAAUGGGGGAAACCCUGAUGCAGCGACGCCGCGUGAAGGAAGAAGUAUUUCGGUAUGUAAACUUCUAUCAGCA
This 396-nucleotide ribosomal RNA is filed under the name uncultured bacterium. RNAcentral's name for it is "bacterial SSU rRNA". It matches the Rfam family "Bacterial small subunit ribosomal RNA", at positions 50 to 441 of the family's 1533-position model. The record is from RNAcentral.